Molecule: ribosomal RNA, 292 nt
Filed under: uncultured eukaryote
Lineage: Eukaryota
Description: partial 18S ribosomal RNA
Rfam family: Eukaryotic small subunit ribosomal RNA
Source: RNAcentral
GGUUGAUCCUGCCAGUAGUCAUAUGCUUGUCUCAAAGAUUAAGCCAUGCAUGUCUCAGUACUUGCUUUUACAAGGCGAAACCGCGAAUGGCUCAUUAAAUCAGUUAUGGUUCACUAGAUCGUACAGUUUACAUGGAUAACUGUGGUAAUUCUAGAGCUAAUACAUGCAUUCAGCUCGCUCUCUCGGGAGCGAGCGCAGUUAUUAGAAUAAAACCAAUCCGGCCUUCGGGUCGGUAAAAUUGGUGACUCUGAAUAACCGAAGCGGAGCGCAUGGUCUCGUACCGGCGCCAGAU